Molecule: ribosomal RNA, 301 nt
Filed under: uncultured bacterium
Lineage: Bacteria
Description: partial 16S ribosomal RNA
Rfam family: Bacterial small subunit ribosomal RNA
Source: RNAcentral
CAGUAGCCGCGGUAAUACGGAGGGGGCUAGCGUUGUUCGGAAUUACUGGGCGUAAAGCGUACGUAGGCGGCUUUGUAAGUUAGAGGUGAAAGCCUGGUGCUCAACACCAGAACUGCCUUUAAGACUGCAUCGCUUGAAUCGCGGAGAGGUGAGUGGAAUUCCGAGUGUAGAGGUGAAAUUCGUAGAUAUUCGGAAGAACACCAGUGGCGAAGGCGGCUCACUGGACGCGUAUUGACGCUGAGGUACGAAAGCGUGGGGAGCAAACAGGAUUAGAUACCCCAGUAGUCCCUGUCUCUUAUAC